UAUUUUUAAAGGGCCGCGGUAUACUGACCGUGCGAAGGUAGCAUAAUCAUUAGUCUUUUAAUUGAAGGCUUGUAUGAAUGGUUGGACAAAAAGUAAUCUGUCUCAGUUAUAAUAGUUGAACUUAACUUUUAAGUGAAAAGGCUUAAAUACUUUAAGGGGACGAUAAGACCCUAUAAAACUUAACAAUAAUUUGAUUAAAUUAUAAAUUGUUAGUAUAACUUGAUUUUAAUUAAUGUUUGUUGCGUUGGGGCGACGGGAAUAUAAUCAGUAACUGUUCUUAAAUAUUUUAUUAACAAGUAUAAUUGAAGAAUAAUUGAUCCUUUAUUAAAGAUUAAAAGAUUAAGUUACUUUAGGGAUAACAGCGUAAUCUUCUUUGAGAGUCCUCAUCGACAAGAAGGUUUGCGACCUCGAUGUUGAAUUAAGGUAUCCUUAUAAUGCAG
This 440-nucleotide ribosomal RNA is filed under the name Penaeus monodon (black tiger shrimp). RNAcentral's name for it is "partial 16S ribosomal RNA". It matches the Rfam family "Bacterial large subunit ribosomal RNA", at positions 1918 to 2558 of the family's 2925-position model. The record is from RNAcentral. Lineage: Eukaryota; Metazoa; Arthropoda; Malacostraca; Decapoda; Penaeidae.